AUGAUAUUCUCUGGUCUGUUCUUGUGCUUGUGGUCCUUGAAACAGGACAAUGAGGAUUCAGAAUUCAGUAAGCAUUUCAAACUCUUUCAUGGCAGUCACCGGCUUGUGGAACUCUGUGCAUGUGCUAGUACUAUUGCUCCUGUUAUGCAUCGGUCUUAUCUUGCUACUCUGGUUGUGCAUCUGUUUUGGACUAUGAAGAAAUUGGGUGUUCUGAGCACAGAACUCUCCAGCAGUAUUGAUCUUCAGCUAAGGCGGUUUGAGUUAUUGCUAUCUUCUAUGCAGUCAUCACAUGGACUUCAUUCUCAAGUUCAACAAGCUUCUUGUGCAUGUAUGUUCUUUGUUUCAACUGAGCUACAGGGUUAUGAGGGAACCAAGCUCCAACCGAGACCAGGGCCACUGUUCAAGUUCAAUCAGGAGACCAUCCAACGGGAACUACAGUGGGCAUCAUUUUCAGGUAAUUGUCGAGCAAUACAUGUGAGGUUCGAGCAACACUUGUGUGGUCAGCUCUAUGUAAAGGUAGUGAGCAUGUCAGUGUUUGGAAAAAAUUUGAAUCACGAGGAAAUUCGAGGCAGUGGCUAUUUUGCUAACAAAUGCAGUUCCAAACAAUUUCAUCAAUAUUGGGACCUUCUGACGUUUUUGAUGGUUCAACCCAUCUGUCUUUGUGAACAACCCUUCAGUUACUCGCAAGAUGCACAACCACAGUUUUGGCAUCUACUGGGAGGUAUUGCAUAUUGUUCUGAUCAGAGGAAGCUGGAGAACAGUGGUUCACAUAAUUUAGUUGCAAGCUCCAAGGCAGGUGCACGUUCCCCUACUAAUAGGUACAUGGUGCUUGUGCAAUUGUUGACUCAUGUGAUCAUGCAUAAGGAAGCAGUACCCAGCCUAGUUCUUCAGUAUGCUCCAUGUACCAUGAUCCUAUUACUGCCUUGGUAUGCAAUCUGUGAUUCACGAGAGAUGGACCCGGUGAUCUGUACCAAAGCUUGGGCGAAAUGCUGCUGUCAGCAUCUUACAUCAACAAAAACAUGUAAAUUGUCACUGGACAAAGGACGCCUCCACUGUGACAUUUUUUAUGGAGGAAUCAAUUCGGAAUUGUGGCACCCAUCAAAUAUGCAGUGUGUCCAGCCACCAAAUUUUGCUUCGGCAUAUCUGAAAUGGGAUGCAGUUUGUGCUGCUGUUGUUCACAUGUUUAAGCAGAGCACUACUCAUGAAUGGGGGCGGCUGCCUUAUUUCAACCAGAGCCCACCUGAUAUGUGUUCUGGAAUAGCAAAAUCCAAUACAAUCAGUCUGCGUAUUCUUGUUGUAUUUGUAGAUGAUUCAGUGCAGCACUGGUUGAUUCCCACAUAUGCAAUCAUACAUAUUGGUGGCGCUCAGUGCAAGGGUGUGUGCAGUGCGCCAUGCUUAUUUGGAAAAUGGAUAUUGGAGGCUGGGAGCAGCCAAGAUGGCAAGAUUUGUGUGCCUAUGAGUGCUCAUGCAAAAAAAGAGUGGUGGCUUCCUUCUCUGGACGCAACAUAUAACAAGGCCCGGGAAAUCAUUCAUCUCCAUUGCCCAAGUCUGCAGACAACAAGCUCUUAUCCCAGUGGUGCAGGUCCUAGCUGUGUCUUCGUGCAAUUUUGUCUUACGUCUGGGCAUGUCUAUCAGUGGCAUUGGUACCUUGGAAUGAUUCACCAUGUGUGGAUUCCUUCAUGUUCGGGCUGGAAAUUAGAUUUGCAUGCUCAUUUUUGGGAAGGCCUAGCGUGGCAAGCUUCUACACAGAGCCUGAUCAAGAGGUCCGGUACAUGGAGAUUAUGGACUAGUCUUCUGCAUUGUUCAGGAUGGCUCCAACGGACUCAAGGAAAUUUUCAAGGAGGGAGGGAUGUCAUCACCGUCACUGUUGUCUUCGCGCAAGGCUCCGUUAACCAGGAGUGCUACCUCGGCUUCAACCACGACUGUGCUGACAAUGGCUACAUCCUCGACGCGCAAGGUUCAGUCGACCACAAGUACUUCGUCGGCAUCUCCUUCGAUCGAGUCUCCCUCGACAACAACUACUGCUUCUACCUCCUCGGAGUCUGCCCUGGCUUCGCCUACCAUCGAGACUUCAACAAUGUACAAGAGCAUCGUGCACAAUGGGAUCCAGGUGGGCGUCGGCUUGGGGUCAAGCCGAGUUUCAAAGAGGGGGGAUGUUAG
This 2160-nucleotide ribosomal RNA is filed under the name Triticum aestivum (bread wheat). RNAcentral describes it as "partial small subunit ribosomal RNA". The record is from RNAcentral. Lineage: Eukaryota; Viridiplantae; Streptophyta; Magnoliopsida; Poales; Poaceae.